RNAcentral lists this transfer RNA (74 nucleotides) under Calothrix sp. SM1_5_4. Its description in RNAcentral is "tRNA-Arg". The record is from RNAcentral. Lineage: Bacteria; Bacillati; Cyanobacteriota; Cyanophyceae; Nostocales; Calotrichaceae.
GUCUCCAUAGCUCAAGUGGAUGAAGCACGUCCCUUCUGAGGACGGGGUUCCAAGUUUGCUUCCUGGUGGAGUCA